This 35-nucleotide ribosomal RNA is filed under the name Clostridioides difficile. RNAcentral's name for it is "partial 23S ribosomal RNA". The record is from RNAcentral. Lineage: Bacteria; Bacillati; Bacillota; Clostridia; Peptostreptococcales; Peptostreptococcaceae.
GUUAUUAACGGCGCAGGGCGGAUGCCUUGGCACUA